Molecule: ribosomal RNA, 253 nt
Filed under: uncultured bacterium
Lineage: Bacteria
Description: partial 16S ribosomal RNA
Rfam family: Bacterial small subunit ribosomal RNA
Source: RNAcentral
UACGGGGGGGGCAAGCGUUGUUCGGAAUUACUGGGCGUAAAGGGCUCGUAGGCGGCCAACUAAGUCGGACGUGAAAUCCCCAGGCUCAACCUGGGAACUGCGUCCGAUACUGGAUGGCUUGAAUCCGGGAGAGGGAUGCAGAAUUCCAGGUGUAGCGGUGAAAUGCGUAGAUAUCUGGAGGAAUACCGGUGGCGAAGGCGGCAUCCUGGACCGGCAUUGACGCUGAGGCGCGAAAGCCAGGGGAGCGAACGGG